AGCAGCCGCGGUAAUUCUAGCUCCAAUAGCGUAUAUUUAAGUUGUUGCAGUUAAAAAGCCGUAGUUGCUCCAAUAGACGAUCAGAUACCGUCCUAGUCUCAACCAUAAACGAUGCCGACAGGGGAUCGGCGGAUGUUGCUUAUAGGACUCCGCCGGCACCCUAUGGGAAACCAAGCUAGCGGGCUGGCAAGGCACA
This 196-nucleotide ribosomal RNA is filed under the name uncultured Glomeromycotina. RNAcentral's name for it is "partial small subunit ribosomal RNA". It matches the Rfam family "Eukaryotic small subunit ribosomal RNA", at positions 569 to 1116 of the family's 1831-position model. The record is from RNAcentral. Lineage: Eukaryota; Fungi; Glomeromycota.